RNAcentral lists this ribosomal RNA (102 nucleotides) under Caerostris darwini. Lineage: Eukaryota; Metazoa; Arthropoda; Arachnida; Araneae; Araneidae. The record is from RNAcentral.
AACGGCCGUACCAUGCUGAAUAUACCGGUUCUCGUUAGAUCACCGAAGUUAAGCAUCAUUGGGCGCGGUCAGUACUUGGGUGGGUGACCACCUGGGAACAUG